AUACGGAGGGGGUUAGCGUUGUUCGGAAUUACUGGGCGUAAAGCGCACGUAGGCGGACUGGAAAGAUGGGGGUGAAAUCCCGGGGCUCAACCCCGGAACUGCCUCCAAAACUUCCAAUCUAGAGAUCGAGAGAGGUGAGUGGAAUUCCAAGUGUAGAGGUGAAAUUCGUAGAUAUUUGGAGGAACACCAGUGGCGAAGGCGGCUCACUGGCUCGAUACUGACGCUGAGGUGCGAAAGCGUGGGGAGCAAACAGGAUUAGAAACCCUAGUAGUCC
RNAcentral lists this ribosomal RNA (274 nucleotides) under uncultured bacterium. RNAcentral describes it as "partial 16S ribosomal RNA". It matches the Rfam family "Bacterial small subunit ribosomal RNA", at positions 523 to 796 of the family's 1533-position model. The record is from RNAcentral.